Molecule: long non-coding RNA, 672 nt
Filed under: Ananas comosus (pineapple)
Lineage: Eukaryota; Viridiplantae; Streptophyta; Magnoliopsida; Poales; Bromeliaceae
Description: long non-coding RNA (ACOM_LNC021633)
Source: RNAcentral
UUAACAUAAAUUUUUAUUUUUAUUUUUAUUUAUUUAUUUAAUUUUUGAUUUUGUAAAAAAUAAAAAAUAUGUAGUUGGUAAUAUAAGCAAAAAUGAACACGACACAAAAUAUUGCCUUCUUAUGUAAUAGUACAUAAACAUAUUUUUUUUCAUAUUUUUUACACAUCUCGGUUAAGGUUAAUUACAUUUCCUGAUUAAUGCAAUUGAUGUGAUGCAUAUUUUAUAUGAAAUUACCUGUUACCAAAAUAAUAUGUGUGAUACUUAUUAGAAAAGACAUAAUAUUUUUGUUUUCCUUUUUUUUUUUUUUNNNNNNNNNNNNNNNNNNNNNNNNNCUUUUACCCCAUAUACACCCAUCAUAUGCUGGUCCCACAUGUCGGUUUAACAGAAAUUUUUAUUUUUAUUUUUUUAUUUAAUUUUUGGUUUUGCAAAAAUAAAAAUGUGUAGUUGGUAAUAUAAGCAAAAAUAAACACGGCACAAAAUAUUGCUUUUUUAUGUAAUAGUAUAUAAACAAAUUUUUUUCCCUUUUUUUUACACAUCCCGGUUAAUGUUAAUUACAUUUUCUGAUUAAUGCAAUUGACGUGAUGCAUAUUCCAUAUGAAAUUAUCUGUUAUCAAAAUAAUAUGUGUGAUACUUAUUAGAAAAGACAUAAUGUUUUUCUUUUUUUUUUUCCAC